This 301-nucleotide ribosomal RNA is filed under the name uncultured bacterium. RNAcentral's name for it is "partial 16S ribosomal RNA". It matches the Rfam family "Bacterial small subunit ribosomal RNA", at positions 509 to 807 of the family's 1533-position model. The record is from RNAcentral.
CAGCAGCCACGGGAAUACGGAGGAUCCAAGCGUUAUCCGGAAUCAUUGGGUUUAAAGGGUCCGUAGGCGGUCUUGUAAGUCAGUGGUGAAAGCCCAUCGCUCAACGGUGGAACGGCCAUUGAUACUGCAGGACUUGAAUUAUUGGGAAGUAACUAGAAUAUGUAGUGUAGCGGUGAAAUGCUUAGAGAUUACAUGGAAUACCAAUUGCGAAGGCAGGUUACUACCAAUUGAUUGACGCUGAUGGACGAAAGCGUGGGUAGCGAACAGGAUUAGAUACCCGCGUAGUCCCUGUCUCUUAUAC